GCCUUCAUAGUUUAACGGAUAGAAUACAGGCCUCCGAAGCCUGGGGUAGAGGUUCAAUUCCUCUUGAAGGCA
Molecule: transfer RNA, 72 nt
Filed under: bacterium
Lineage: Bacteria
Description: tRNA-Arg
Rfam family: tRNA
About the family: Transfer RNA (tRNA) molecules are approximately 80 nucleotides in length. Their secondary structure includes four short double-helical elements and three loops (D, anti-codon, and T loops). Further hydrogen bonds mediate the characteristic L-shaped molecular structure. tRNAs have two regions of fundamental functional importance: the anti-codon, which is responsible for specific mRNA codon recognition, and the 3' end, to which the tRNAs corresponding amino acid is attached (by aminoacyl-tRNA synthetases). tRNAs cope with the degeneracy of the genetic code in two manners: having more than one tRNA (with a specific anti-codon) for a particular amino acid; and 'wobble' base-pairing, i.e. permitting non-standard base-pairing at the 3rd anti-codon position.
Source: RNAcentral